RNAcentral lists this ribosomal RNA (587 nucleotides) under uncultured bacterium. RNAcentral's name for it is "bacterial SSU rRNA". It matches the Rfam family "Bacterial small subunit ribosomal RNA", at positions 338 to 917 of the family's 1533-position model. The record is from RNAcentral.
CCUACGGGAGGCAGCAGUGGGGAAUUUUGGACAAUGGGCGAAAGCCUGAUCCAGCAAUGCCGCGUGAGUGAAGAAGGCCUUCGGGUUGUAAAGCUCUUUUGUCAGGGAAGAAACGGUGAGAGCUAAUAUCUCUUGCUAAUGACGGUACCUGAAGAAUAAGCACCGGCUAACUACGUGCCAGCAGCCGCGGUAAUACGUAGGGUGCAAGCGUUAAUCGGAAUUACUGGGCGUAAAGCGUGCGCAGGCGGUUUUGUAAGUCUGAUGUGAAAUCCCCGGGCUCAACCUGGGAAUUGCAUUGGAGACUGCAAGGCUAGAAUCUGGCAGAGGGGGGUAGAAUUCCACGUGUAGCAGUGAAAUGCGUAGAUAUGUGGAGGAACACCGAUGGCGAAGGCAGCCCCCUGGGUCAAGAUUGACGCUCAUGCACGAAAGCGUGGGGAGCAAACAGGAUUAGAUACCCUGGUAGUCCACGCCCUAAACGAUGUCUACUAGUUGUCGGGUCUUAAUUGACUUGGUAACGCAGCUAACGCGUGAAGUAGACCGCCUGGGGAGUCGGUCGCAAGNUUAAAACGUCAAAUGAAAUUGACCGG